RNAcentral lists this ribosomal RNA (495 nucleotides) under uncultured bacterium. Its description in RNAcentral is "partial 16S ribosomal RNA". It matches the Rfam family "Bacterial small subunit ribosomal RNA", at positions 28 to 505 of the family's 1533-position model. The record is from RNAcentral.
GAUGAACGCUGGCGGCGUGCCUAAUACAUGCAAGUCGAGCGAACAGACGAGGAGCUUGCUCCUCUGACGUUAGCGGCGGACGGGUGAGUAACACGUGGAUAACCUACCUAUAAGACUGGGAUAACUUCGGGAAACCGGAGCUAAUACCGGAUAAUAUAUUGAACCGCAUGGUUCAAUAGUGAAAGACGGUUUUGCUGUCACUUAUAGAUGGAUCCGCGCCGCAUUAGCUAGUUGGUAAGGUAACGGCUUACCAAGGCGACGAUGCGUAGCCGACCUGAGAGGGUGACCGGCCACACUGGAACUGAGACACGGUCCAGACUCCUACGGGAGGCAGCAGUAGGGAAUCUUCCGCAAGGGGCGAAAGCCUGACGGAGCAACGCCGCGUGAGUGAUGAAGGUCUUCGGAUCGUAAAACUCUGUUAUUAGGGAAGAACAAAUGUGUAAGUAACUAUGCACGUCUUGACGGUACCUAAUCAGAAAGCCACGGCUAACUACG